Molecule: non-coding RNA, 379 nt
Organism: Xyrichtys novacula (pearly razorfish)
Lineage: Eukaryota; Metazoa; Chordata; Actinopteri; Labriformes; Labridae
Source: the annotation of a GenBank genome assembly
GCUCAUUUUGGCUGGGCGGCCAGCUCUAGGAAGAGUCCUGGUGGUUCCAAACGUCUUCCAUUUCUUAAUGAUGGAGACCACUGUGCUUUUUGGGAUCUUCAAUGCAGCAGAUAUUUUUCUGUAACCUUCCCCAGAUCUGUGCGCCGAUACAACCCUGUUUCAGAGGUCUACAGACAAUUCUUUCGACUUCAUGGCUUGGUUUGUGCGCUGACGUGCUCUGUCAGCUGUGGGAUCUUAUAUAGACAGGUGUGGCUUUCCAAAUCAUGUCCAAUCAGCUGAAUUUGCCACAGGUGGACUGCAAUCAAGUUGGAGGAACAUUUCAAGGCUGAUCAGUGGAAACAGGAUGCACCUGAGCUCAAUUAUGAGUUUUAUAGCAAAG